RNAcentral lists this ribosomal RNA (552 nucleotides) under Aureobasidium pullulans. Its description in RNAcentral is "partial large subunit ribosomal RNA". It matches the Rfam family "Eukaryotic large subunit ribosomal RNA", at positions 86 to 653 of the family's 3401-position model. Lineage: Eukaryota; Fungi; Ascomycota; Dothideomycetes; Dothideales; Saccotheciaceae. The record is from RNAcentral.
ACGGCGAGUGAAGCGGCAACAGCUCAAAUUUGAAAGCUAGCCUUCGGGUUCGCAUUGUAAUUUGUAGAGGAUGAUUUGGGGAAGCCGCCUGUCUAAGUUCCUUGGAACAGGACGUCAUAGAGGGUGAGAAUCCCGUAUGUGACAGGAAAUGGCACCCUAUGUAAAUCUCCUUCGACGAGUCGAGUUGUUUGGGAAUGCAGCUCUAAAUGGGAGGUAAAUUUCUUCUAAAGCUAAAUAUUGGCGAGAGACCGAUAGCGCACAAGUAGAGUGAUCGAAAGAUGAAAAGCACUUUGGAAAGAGAGUUAAAAAGCACGUGAAAUUGUUGAAAGGGAAGCGCUUGCAAUCAGACUUGUUUAAACUGUUCGGCCGGUCUUCUGACCGGUUUACUCAGUUUGGACAGGCCAGCAUCAGUUUCGGCGGCCGGAUAAAGGCUCUGGGAAUGUGGCCUCCACUUCGGUGGAGGUGUUAUAGCCCAGGGUGUAAUACGGCCAGCCGGGACUGAGGUCCGCGCUUCGGCUAGGAUGCUGGCGUAAUGGUUGUAAGCGACCCGUC